GAUGAACGCUGGCGGCGUGCCUAAUACAUGCAAGUCGAGCGAACAGACGAGGAGCUUGCUCCUCUGACGUUAGCGGCGGACGGGUGAGUAACACGUGGAUAACCUACCUAUAAUACUGGGAUAACUUCGGGAAAACGGAGCUAAUACCGGAUCAUAUAUUGAACCGCAUGGUUCAAUAGUGAAAGACGGUUUUGCUGUCACUUAUAGAUGGAUCCGCGCCGCAUUAGCUAGUUGGUAAGGUAACGGCCUACCAAGGCAACGAUGCGUAGCCGACCUGAGAGGGUGAUCGGCCACACUGGAACUGAGACACGGUCCAGACUCCUACGGGAGGCAGCAGUAGGGAAUAUUGCGCAAUGGGCGCAAGCCUGACGGAGCAACGCCGCGUGAGUGAUGAAGGUCUUCGGAUCGUAAAACUCUGUUAUUAGGGAAGAACAACUGUGUAAGUAACUAUGCACGUCUUGACGGUACCUAAUCAGAAAGCCCCGGCUAACUACGUG
This 497-nucleotide ribosomal RNA is filed under the name uncultured bacterium. RNAcentral describes it as "partial 16S ribosomal RNA". It matches the Rfam family "Bacterial small subunit ribosomal RNA", at positions 28 to 507 of the family's 1533-position model. The record is from RNAcentral.